Molecule: ribosomal RNA, 334 nt
Filed under: uncultured soil bacterium
Lineage: Bacteria
Description: bacterial SSU rRNA
Rfam family: Bacterial small subunit ribosomal RNA
Source: RNAcentral
AGGACUAACGCUGGCGGCGUGCCUAAUGCAUGCAAGUCGGACGCAUAUCUUCUUCGGAAGGUGUGAGUGGCAGACGGGUGAGGAACACGCGGACGACCUGCCCCGGGGCGGGGGAUACCCCGUGGAAACACGGGAUAAGCCCGCGUACGCUCCCCUCCUUGGAUGGGGGGAGAAAGAGUCGCAAGGCUCGCCCUGGGAGGGUCUGCGGCCCAUCAGCUGGACGGCGGGUAACGCCCACCGUGGCGACGACGGGUCGCCGGUCUGAGAGGACGGCCGGCCACACGGGGACUGGGAGACGGCCCCGACUCCUACGGGAGGCAGCAGCAAGGGAUUU